GACAGAUAUCAUUGUCACUGUUGUGCACAAGUUUCCGGAAUACAGCUCAACGUGUAUUUCACUCUGCAGCACAAUGAAGGAGCAAAACUACAGCGAAGAAAUUACAAAAAUACUAGAGGAGGCUCCCGCAGCUCGAAAGGCGCUUCUUGACAACUACAACAAUUUGUACAAAGUAGCCGAAUACUGCGAGAGCAACUACCUGCAGUCUGGUAAUGACUCCAAGAAAGCACUGGAUGAGACCAAGGCCUUUACCGCCCAGUCAUUGGCUAGUGUGGCCUAUCAGAUCAACUCACUGGCCACCAAUGUCUUCAAACUGCUGGAUUCACAAACCCUGCAGCUCCGCAAAAUAGAGUCCUCCAUCAACCAGAUCGGAGAGACGGUGGACAUGCACAGAGAAAAGGUGGCCCGUCGAGAGAUUGGUGUUUUCACAGUCCCCAAGAAGCUACCACGCAGUCACAAGAUUGUCCCCCCAGCAAAAAGUAAAGAGCCCAAGCCGAAAUACUCCCGCACACCCAUCUCCUUCUCCAUCCUGGACUCUGUAGGUCAUGGCAUUAAGGAUUCUGGGCAGCCACAGGUAAAAACCGCGACCAUGACACGUAGCAGCAGCAUAUUGAGUCGAGGCGGCCGUCCUCCAGAGCCUGUCCAGUGUCCCGUGGUGCCCACUUUGUCCCACGGAUCAUCAGUGACCUCACUCAAUGAGAAAUCUUUAGCUUCUAGCUUCGGUAAAGCCGUACCACCUCCAGUAGUGCCCAGUUGGCCGGCCAGCUCUGAUGGUGACAUCGUGAGUACAAUGCUGGAUCAAGGUCCACCUCCUCCACCCCCACCGAUGGAGUUCGAGGGUGCACAUGACCAUGGGCAGGAUACUGGUCCACCGCCACCUCCACCUCCUCCGUUUGACUGUACUGAAGUCCCUCCGCCUCCUCCUAUGCCCCCUACAGUAAAUCCACCUGAUUCCAGCAGCUUGUCGAGCAUUCCACCUCCUCCACCAGCUCCACCUCUUGAGACAGUUGCCGAGGAGAAUGGAUUUCAUCUACCAGGACCGCCCUGUGACAUGCUUCCUCCACCAGUCCCUGAUGGUUUUGAUCUUCCUCUUCCACCACCUGUACCUAAUGAUGUGAACAUCGAAGCUACGCGCACACGGCGGUCACGAGUACGUCGACAUCCUCCUAGCGCUCGCUCUCUCUCUCUAAGGGUCCGCAUGGGCCCCAGUGCUCGCUCGCUUUACACACGUUCACUUUUUCUGCCUUCCGCUCAAUCACUCAUGAUACCCCCGCCCCCUCCAUAUCCACCUCCUCUGGCUCCGCCUGUUUCAUUGAGCCCAUUGUGCAGGAUCCCUGCCCGCCUGCAGCACCUGGAUCUUGAGAUUCCUGCUCCGCCCCCAUCACCACCAGUGGAUUUUGACAACUAUGAUGAAAUGCCCCCUCUACCGCCCCCUAUUGAUUAUGACACUUCUGCACCAGCUGAUUAUUUGGAGAAAGUGGUGGCACUGUAUAGCUACGACACAGGCAAGCCAGGUGACUUGGUCUUUCAGGAAGGUGAUAUCAUCUACCUUACCAUCAGGAAUGAGGAUGGCUGGUGUGAGGGAGAACUGAAUGGAGUCAAAGGUUAUUUUCCUGGCAACUAUGUGGAGUCAACCGCUUAACUGGCUAUAAGAGUCACCGUGGAAUCACAGCAGUGUCUACAUUUGUCCUGUAAGCACCUGUUUAUUAAGGGUUGGAUCUGAAUUUCUCAAAGUUGCAUCUGACACAAAAAUGAAUGAAUACUUUCCAACUUUUCAGAUUUUCAUACCUGUCGCAGUCAGUUUUAUUGUGGUAAUCUGCUGCGUUGGCUUUUGUAAAACCUACCAACGGGCCCGUAAGAAGCAUCUUCAGCGGCUGGCGGCUCAAGCUCGGGAACAAACACCUGUCUAUGUCAUUCCCAUCUCUCUGUCCGAGGAUGAUCUGCACAGACCCCCGCUUUAUAGCACAGUCCAGUUUUAUGACCCACCUCCUGCUUACAAUGAGGUAAAACCUGAGGUCUUUCUGCAGGAACCCCCACCUACAUACAGCGAGACCUUCUCUUCUUCACUAUCAAAUUCAUAAAACAAAACGCACUUGGACUGAUUAGAGAGAAUAUAUUAAGGAAACCUUGCAAGUCAUCAUUUUAAAAGUCACCCAUGCUGCUACUUACUCUGCAAAGUUUUAAAGUAUAAGAGAUGGACUAUUAUAAUAGAUAAUAAACAUGCGAUUCUGUUGGGAUUUUACGUCCAUAUGGAUUUGAAAGGGAGUUUAUUUUGUAGAUUUGUAGACCAGUUGUUCUCAAACUGGGGGCCGGGGCCCAAAGGGGGGCCGCGAGAUGGUGCCAGGGAGGCUCCAGUUUUAUGACAUUUUAUAAAAUACUUUAAUUUAUCAUGAAUUCUGUGUAAUUAAACCUAAAAAAAAAAUAAGGCUAGUAACCAACAGCACUACUUUGUAUAAUUUAAUAUGUUUUGUUUGAUAAAAAAGAACUGGUUUUUGUUAUAAAUUUUCUUUGGGGGGCCGCAAAGAAAUGUGCCGUACACAAGGGGGGCCGCACACUUCAAAAGUUUGAGAACCAUUGUUGUAGACAGUUGUACAGUUUAAAAGUGUAUGUGUUGUUGUUUGUAAAUAUGCUGUACAUUGUUGGUACCUUUAAAAGUGAGUUGGUAUGUUUAUUUGUAAGAAACGUUAAAAGAUAAGUGGUUGACUAUGUGUCCAUCAGAUUUCUUUAUUUAAAAAAUGGGUCCACAUAUUUUUAAAUAAAAU
Molecule: non-coding RNA, 2762 nt
Organism: Paramisgurnus dabryanus
Lineage: Eukaryota; Metazoa; Chordata; Actinopteri; Cypriniformes; Cobitidae
Source: RefSeq, a predicted model, not a curated record